UACGGAGGGUGCGAGCGUUGUCCGGAAUCACUGGGCGUAAAGGGCGCGUAGGCGGCCCGGUAAGUAGGGGGUGAAAUCCUGAGGCUCAACCUCAGGGCUGCCUUCUAAACUGCCAGGCUCGAGCACAGUAGAGGCAGGUGGAAUUCCCGGUGUAGCGGUGGAAUGCGUAGAGAUCGGGAAGAACAUCGGUGGCGAAGGCGGCCUGCUGGGCUGUUGCUGACGCUGAGGCGCGACAGCGUGGGGAGCAAACAGG
This 253-nucleotide ribosomal RNA is filed under the name uncultured bacterium. RNAcentral's name for it is "partial 16S ribosomal RNA". It matches the Rfam family "Bacterial small subunit ribosomal RNA", at positions 524 to 776 of the family's 1533-position model. The record is from RNAcentral.